Deinococcus radiodurans is the source of this 73-nucleotide transfer RNA. It matches the Rfam family "tRNA". Rfam says of the family: Transfer RNA (tRNA) molecules are approximately 80 nucleotides in length. Their secondary structure includes four short double-helical elements and three loops (D, anti-codon, and T loops). Lineage: Bacteria; Thermotogati; Deinococcota; Deinococci; Deinococcales; Deinococcaceae. The record is from Rfam.
GGGUUCUUAGCUCAGUUGGUAGAGCGGCGGUCUCCAAAACCGUAGGUCGAGGGUUCAAGUCCUUCAGGGCCCG